AAAGAUUAAGCCAUGCAUGUCUAAGCACAUGCCUUAAUACGGUGAAGCCGCGAAUAGCUCAUUACAACAGCCACCGUUUACUAGAAUAUAGUUAUCCUACUUGGAUAACUGUGGCAAUUCUAGAGCUAAUACAUGCAAAAAAGCUCUGCCCGCAAGGAACGAGCGCAUUUAUUAGAAUAAAAACCAAUCGGGUUUCGGCCCGUAAUUUGGUGAAUCUGAAUAACUUUGCCAAUCGCACAGUCCUAGUACUGGCGAUGUAUCUUUCAAGUGUCUGCCUUAUCAACUUUCGAUGGUAGGUUAUACGCCUACCAUGGUAGUAACGGGUAACGGAGAAUAAGGGUUCGACUCCGGAGAGGGAGCCUGAGAAACGGCUACCACAUCCAAGGAAGGCAGCAGGCGCGCAAAUUACCCACUUCCAGAACGGAGAGGUAGUGACGAAAAAUAACGAGACAGUCCUCUUCGAGGUCUGUCAUCGGAAUGGGUACAAUUUAAAUCCUUUAACGAGGAUCUAUUGGAGGGCAAGUCUGGUGCCAGCAGCCGCGGUAAUUCCAGCUCCAAUAGCGUAUAUUAAAGUUGUUGCGGUUAAAACGCUCGUAGUUGGAUCUGCGGCCUCGGAGAACGGUCCCCCGAAAGGGUGGUCACUGUCUCUCCUAGCCUAAAUUCGAGUCGUCUCUAGGUGCUCUUUACCGAGUGCUUAGAGUGACUAGAACGUUUACUUUGAAAAAAUUAGAGUGCUUAAAGCAGGCGAAAUAGCCUGAAUAAGGUGCAUGGAAUAAUGGAAUAGGACCUCGGUUCUAUUUUGUUGGUUUUCGGAACCCGAGGUAAUGAUUAAGAGGAACAGACGGGGGCAUUCGUAUUCCGGCGCUAGAGGUGAAAUUCUUGGACCGCCGGAAGACGGACGACUGCGAAAGCAUUUGCCAAGAAUG
Molecule: ribosomal RNA, 926 nt
Filed under: Aporcelaimellus cf. paraobtusicaudatus JH-2004
Lineage: Eukaryota; Metazoa; Nematoda; Enoplea; Dorylaimida; Aporcelaimidae
Also listed under: 1 other name
Description: SSU rRNA
Rfam family: Eukaryotic small subunit ribosomal RNA
Source: RNAcentral